UGCAUGUGCGACGUUUUUAUAGAGGCAGU
RNAcentral lists this non-coding RNA (29 nucleotides) under Homo sapiens (human). Lineage: Eukaryota; Metazoa; Chordata; Mammalia; Primates; Hominidae. The record is from RNAcentral.